Long non-coding RNA from Megalobrama amblycephala (Wuchang bream), 734 nucleotides. RefSeq lists it as uncharacterized. The transcript is spliced from 3 exons. The record is from RefSeq and is a predicted model, not a curated record. Lineage: Eukaryota; Metazoa; Chordata; Actinopteri; Cypriniformes; Xenocyprididae.
AUGUGGUUUGUAAGAUCUUCUGAGUGGUUGUUAAAGCAUUGCUAUAUGGUUGCUACUAGGUUUUACAGUGGUUAAACAGAACAACUGGAAUCACAAAGGAGUCACAUGACCCUCCCGGUGGGACACCGGUCUGUAACCUCUCAGGUCUCCUGCAUCUUCUCCACGCUUACAUUUACAUGGGGACGACAGUACCACGAACAUUUGACCAGUAAUGUUCUUUCGGCAAUCACUGAUGCUUGAUGGGAAGAGAUGGCUUUCGACAUUCCUGUUUUCUACAUGAGGAGGCCUGCAUUAAUCAUUACUGCUGAUUUUACCCAGAUUGAUUGGGGCAGAAUUGUGCACAGAUGAGUGUUUUGCAUUAACAGGCCUCCACUCUUCAACACAAAGCCCAGCCCGAGUCAUCAGCACUCAGCUGUCAUAAUUAGCCAGGCUGAUUGUGGUUCUUCAUGAGAUCCAAGGCUUAUGAAGACUAGCCUACAAAAUCCACGAUAGAAAAGGGAAACCGGGGUCAACAGAGCCUAACAGUAGGGUUCCAGAAGAAAAAAUCCCAUUCUUUUUCUCCAUAGAGAAUAGGACUUUUGAUAAUAAGUCUUCAAGACAGAUCUAGUGUGAGCUCUGAGUUUUUUUUUAAAGAGAUUACCUGUGUUUUCAACUUUAGUUUUUAAAAAAAAAUCAUCUGAUUUUCAAAUUUGAUAGUUUUUUCAAACCCUUUGUAAUAAAGUUUGUAAAGUUUU